UACGGAGGGGGCAAGCGUUAUCCGGAAUCACUGGGUUUAAAGGGUGCGUAGGCGGCUUGAUAAGUCAGGGGUUAAAGCCCGCAGCUUAACUGCGGAUCUGCCUUUGAUACUGUCGAGCUUGAAAGAGGUUGAGGUCAGCGGAACGUGACAUGUAGCGGUGAAAUGCAUAGAUAUGUCACAGAACACCGAUUGCGAAGGCAGCUGGCUGGACCUACUUUGACGCUGAGGGACGAAAGCGUGGGGAGCGAACAGG
RNAcentral lists this ribosomal RNA (253 nucleotides) under uncultured bacterium. Its description in RNAcentral is "partial 16S ribosomal RNA". It matches the Rfam family "Bacterial small subunit ribosomal RNA", at positions 524 to 776 of the family's 1533-position model. The record is from RNAcentral.